Long non-coding RNA from Coccinella septempunctata (seven-spotted ladybird), 521 nucleotides. RefSeq lists it as uncharacterized. Lineage: Eukaryota; Metazoa; Arthropoda; Insecta; Coleoptera; Coccinellidae. The transcript has 2 exons. The record is from RefSeq and is a predicted model, not a curated record.
UUAUAUAUCAGUAUAAUGAUUGGGCGAUAUUUAUAAAGUUGUUAUGAACGUUAUUUCGUGAUAACUGUUACAAACUGUUAUAGUUAUUCUGUUAUCGCAGAAUGAUUCACAUAAAUAACCAGAUAACCUCAUCGUUGUUAUGAUAGAAGAUAUGAAUAAUGACUAAGUAUUUGAAAAAAUUGUAGGCAUAUGCAAGCCAGGUUCUCUGAUGUAAGCUGAAAUUCUGUUCUUAUCGAGUAAAUGGAAGGAAUAUUGAUACUCUUAUCAUUACAUUCAGUAUGAAGUAGUAUGGGCUACAUAUCAUGCGUUGGUAUAUGGUGAAAUGAUAGACAAUGAAGGAAUGGAAAGAUUUUAUACUAUAUGAACUAACAGGUAUAUUUACUCGAGGGGAGCAUUUAUUAUCAAUGGAAUGGAAAAGGAAGUAAAUAGAAUGGAUCAAUAUGUUAUAUAUUACUAAUAUUGUAAUUAAUGGAAUACAAAAUUGUUAAUAUAUUCUUGAAAUAAACACAUUUUAGACAUCA